GGUACUGAAACACCGGUUCUUGUACAAUCACCGAAGUUAAGCAACGUCUAGCCUGAUCAGUACCUAGAUGGGUGACCGCCUAGUAAUAUCAGAUGUUGG
Non-coding RNA from Acanthosepion pharaonis, 99 nucleotides. Lineage: Eukaryota; Metazoa; Mollusca; Cephalopoda; Sepiida; Sepiidae. The record is from the annotation of a GenBank genome assembly.